AGUGAACGCUGGCGGUAGGCCUAACACAUGCAAGUCGAACGGCAGCACAGUAAGAGCUUGCUCUUACGGGUGGCGAGUGGCGGACGGGUGAGGAAUACAUCGGAAUCUACUUUUUCGUGGGGGAUAACGUAGGGAAACUUACGCUAAUACCGCAUACGACCUACGGGUGAAAGCAGGGGAUCUUCGGACCUUGCGCGAUUGAAUGAGCCGAUGUCGGAUUAGCUAGUUAGCGGGGUAAAGGCCCACCAAGGCGACGAUCCGUAGCUGGUCUGAGAGGAUGAUCAGCCACACUGGAACUGAGACACGGUCCAGACUCCUACGGGAGGCAGCAGUGGGGAAUAUUGGACAAUGGGCGCAAGCCUGAUCCAGCCAUACCGCGUGGGUGAAGAAGGCCUUCGGGUUGUAAAGCCCUUUUGUUGGGAAAGAAAAGCAGCAGGUUAAUACCCCGCUGUCCUGACGGUACCCAAAUAAUAAGCACCGGCUAACUUCGUG
RNAcentral lists this ribosomal RNA (492 nucleotides) under uncultured bacterium. RNAcentral describes it as "partial 16S ribosomal RNA". It matches the Rfam family "Bacterial small subunit ribosomal RNA", at positions 29 to 507 of the family's 1533-position model. The record is from RNAcentral.